Spinacia oleracea (spinach) is the source of this 1389-nucleotide long non-coding RNA. RefSeq lists it as uncharacterized. NCBI's taxonomy places the organism in Eukaryota, Viridiplantae, Streptophyta, Magnoliopsida, Caryophyllales, Amaranthaceae. The transcript is spliced from 4 exons. The record is from RefSeq and is a predicted model, not a curated record.
UAUCGUGGUAAGGACGGACAAAUCGAGACACGUGCACAUAGGAUAUUUUCCAGAACCCUCUUUUCAGAAAUCUCUCUCAAGUCCCAAACCCUCCCUUCACCUUUUACCUAAUCGUCUUCACCAGUCGUCACUCCCGUAGUUCAAUCUCCAGCAUUCUCCACCACCUCGUGUCCUCACCCAUAGCUGUUCGUUUUGCUCUCAUACAAGUUAAAGAAGCCCAUCAGCGUCCUCCGUUGCAGCGAAGAACUAGAACCCGUAGCAGCCACCCUCACCGACGCCUCCACCCCACCCCACCCCCACCGACGCCGCCACCAACAUCUUUCUCGCGAGUCCUCGACACACCCAACCAGGGAAGUGUCGCCUCCAACGCUGGCCGGCUCCUCUACCCCAUUUGCGCGCGGCUCCCUCACCCAACCAAGGAGAGGAAAUAAGAUGUUGAUGAAGAUUUGAAAGACUUUCAUAGAAAUAAGAAGAAUAAGGUAUUAUUCCCGUUUGGAUUAUUGGAUAUGGUUUAUUUGCUUUUGGGCUCUCAUCUCUUACAUGUUACAUUAUGCACAAGCAUAUGAUAGCAAGAAUCUAUCUUACUGCAUUUCGGCGUUGUAGAGUCUUUUCUUUUGGCACUGUCUCUAAUAAAAAUGCAAUAAAAAGGGAUUUUUAGUGUAUAGAGAAGCAAAGGUCGAUGAAAACAAUGUCGUUUUUGGUUCUAUGAAAUAGAUCUUUAAUUUGGUACAGUGAGUCAUUUAUUCUUUUUGAUGCAUGGUAAGAUAAUUAAGAGUACUGUACAAUUUACUACUUAUCAUACAGGUGGGCUUGAUUUUUUUUCCGAAUGAUAUGUGGUACCACAUGAGUAACAUUAUUAUUGAGGCUUCAAGAUCAUACAGGUAUUAGUUUGUAGUCUCCCAUUAGAUCACUUAUUAAUGGAGUUGUAGCUUUUCGUAAUAAUCACAUAGCUGCUUGUGUCACCAAUAAUAUUAACAUAUAUUUAAUAGUAUAUUGCACGGAUCAUAGGAGUGUAGUUAGUUAUCAUGUUUAUUAGCCUUGGAUCCAUUGUCUUUUUUAACUUUGAAACACAUGUUUAUUAUCAUUUUUAUCUCUUUGGAGAUGGAGUAGUAUCUGAUGCCCUUAUUUUCUAAGUAUUAAUUAUUAUUUUCAGGUUUGUGAAGAACAAAUGGAUUUUACACAUGUGUAAUUAGUUAGCUCUUAUGGUAAUAUUUUGGUGAUCUCAAGAUCUCAACUCUCAACCAAUGUAAAAUGAGAGUAUAUAAUAUUCUUUUUUUAGGUUAUUUAUAUAAGUACUACCGUAGUACUAACGUAGUACUACUUUUUGUAUAUUGCCAAACCAUUGGACAUGUAGAUAUUAUUGACCUUUUUAAUGAAAUUAAAUUUUUA